Acinonyx jubatus (cheetah) is the source of this 1968-nucleotide long non-coding RNA. RefSeq lists it as uncharacterized. The transcript is spliced from 3 exons. The record is from RefSeq and is a predicted model, not a curated record. Lineage: Eukaryota; Metazoa; Chordata; Mammalia; Carnivora; Felidae.
UAGCCUUUUUUCAGGAACUCUGUACACCCUGAAAACAUGACAAACAAGGCUAACAGCUCACACACAAUACCUGUUGAAGCCAGCCAGAUCUCUAUUUCCUUAGAGCCCCCCGGCUAGUCCUGUCCUCUGGGGGGCAGGGGUGGCAAUCCUGAAGGCCUUAGGCUGCUGCAGCCUCCUCUGUCCAGUAAAACAAUAAAACCCUGGUUGUUUUGCAUCCCAGACUCUAUCUUCGCAUUACCAGUUCCAGCUCUGGAGCACAGAGGUCGACAUUCGACAACAAGUUCACGCAGUAGGAGUGAAAAGAAAGUCAUCAAAGAGAUUAGAUUACUUGAUGAAGCAUCCUAUCUCAGUCAUAUUUUAAUCCUUCUGAUUUUCCAGCUAAUUAAGGUUUAACAGUCUGGUGGAACCAAUUCAAACCCAUUUCCAUUCCCGGGACCCACCUCCAAAGUAACUCCAGUCAACUAUUUGGCCAACAGGACUUCAAGCAUUUUCCGUGCACAUGGCAACUACCAUUCAGCGAACACCUGUGAUAUGUCAAGUCCAAGUGUACAAACUCUUCAUCUGUAUCAAUCCAGCUGCUGCUUUACACCUUCUCUAGGAGACCACUGAUACCAAGUGCUGCUUGUAGCUGCCUCAUCAUGUGAUCUAGACACAGCACAACGACAAGGAGGGGGUCAGUGGCUGGACGUCACUCCUAAUUAAGGACAGAAGGAAAAGCCUGGCACUAAGCAGCAAAGACAGCACAAAAAUUGUUCAAGGGCCUGGAGGCAUCCAGUGGGAGAGAGAAAGGGCAUUUCUUGGUGACCAGGUGCUCACGGUCUACUUUACCGCAAUAAGCAAGACACCCUACCAAACCAUCAGCCUGGAUUGAGUCCAACAGUACCAAGCAUGGAUUAAUGGAGCAAAAGGAACACAGUUCCAUGUGGAACUCCAGAUUAUAAAGAUGACAAGUCACAGCUUAAGUGACAGGCUAAGUCCCGGGCCCAGCUCAAAGAACUAGUAUCUUAUGAUGUGUCGGGCAACACCUAUCUGUUACCUAUGUGUAAACAUCACAUACCCCUUUCUAGAUCAUCUCAUUACCUCAAAGAUCUCACUCUUGCAUAAGGAAAGCAUUAAUAUGUCCCUGUUUUACAGCUUGAAAAACAGAAAUUCAGACACUGACUUGCCCAAAGGCCCAAAGCCACUAAGCCAACCCAAGUCUGACUGACCCUGAAGCUGUGUGCCCCAUGUGUGCCCAGAGGGUGGGCCACUACCUCGCAGGGCUGGUACUUCUGAACCCACUCCCAGGGCCCUUGAGCAGAGAGCACGCUCUAGUGGAUCCCCAGGGCUGACGCUGAAGAGCUGGCAGCACCCAUCAGGAGCAGGGGCAGUCCCACAGGCCAUUUGGGGCACUGGGACCACAUCUUACCAGUUCAUUUUGGAAACUGCGUAACUAAAGCAGCCAGGGACAACAUCAAAAAGACUGAUCAAGUACUGACUAUUGGGAAGGUUCUAACCUUAAAAUUGUUCCUUUCUGUUAAAAAGUUUAUUUCACAUGCCUUACAAAAUUAGAUUUUUAAAUCCAGCAUUAACUUGAAACUAACGUUCCUAACCCAACCCCAGCCUUCAGGUUUCCUUUUUUGAUUGGGAAACAACAGGAGUGGAGAAUGCAUCCAAACCCACUGGAUUCUCUCUCUUAAGGGAACUCCAAGCAGUGAAGGGCAGAAUAGAGGGAGGGUGUCCUAGGCACAGAGGUGGGAGUCAGCUCUGCAAGCCAGGCCCUCACCACCCCCACACACAUCUAGGGUCCUGUUGGGCAAUGAGGCACGCAAACGCCUCGAUUUUUCAAGAAAUUUAUUUUCUGGGGCGCCUGGGUGGUACAGUCCAUUCAGCACCCAGGUCUUGGUUUCAGCUGAGGUCAGGAUCUCAUGGCUUGUGGGUUUGAGCCCUACGUCAGCCUCCACGCUGACAGCAUGGAGCCUGCUUGGG